Molecule: transfer RNA, 72 nt
Filed under: Pseudempusa pinnapavonis
Lineage: Eukaryota; Metazoa; Arthropoda; Insecta; Mantodea; Mantidae
Description: tRNA-Lys
Source: RNAcentral
CAUCAGAUGACUGAAAAGCAAGUAAUGGUCUCUUAAACCAAAAAAUAGUAAUAUGGUAUUUACUUCUGAUGA